UUGACCUCGGAUCAGGUAGGGAUACCCGCUGAACUUAAGCAUAUCAAUAAGCGGAGGAAAAGAAACCAACAGGGAUUACCUCAGUAACGGCGAGUGAAGCGGC
Molecule: ribosomal RNA, 103 nt
Filed under: Sawadaea polyfida var. japonica
Lineage: Eukaryota; Fungi; Ascomycota; Leotiomycetes; Helotiales; Erysiphaceae
Also listed under: 2 other names
Description: partial 28S ribosomal RNA
Rfam family: Eukaryotic large subunit ribosomal RNA
Source: RNAcentral